This is an RNA transcript of Chrysoperla carnea, 1671 nucleotides long. It is a transcript of the gene named juvenile hormone acid O-methyltransferase-like, with no coding region annotated. The transcript is spliced from 5 exons. Lineage: Eukaryota; Metazoa; Arthropoda; Insecta; Neuroptera; Chrysopidae. The record is from RefSeq and is a predicted model, not a curated record.
ACUGAAUUUGAUUGUUAUUCGUAAACAAUAUUUGCAAAACGAAACAAUACGUUUAUCAAAAUUUAUUAACUCGUUAUCUUGAAUCAAAUAACAAUGAAUGAUCCAAGUUUAUACGCUUCAGUAAACGUGGUAACAAGACGAGAUGCAAAAUAUCUUAUUGAUAGUUAUUUUGAUAAAAUUAAAUGGCUACCAAACGGUGGUGAUUUGGUAUUAGAUAUUGGCUGCGGAGAUGGUGCGGUAACUUAUGAACUUCUACUAGAAUACGUUCCAAAAACUGUCGAAAUGAUAGUUGGUACAGAUGUUUCGCUAACAAUGUUAAAAUAUGCUAAUAAUUCAUACCAGCAUCCAAAAUUACAAUUUCAACAUUUAGAUAUUGCUACAGAGUCACUACCUAAACAGUAUUUUGGAAAGUUUGAUCAUGUAUUUUCAAAUUAUUGUUUACAUUGGGUUCAAGAUCAAAGGCAAGCAUUUCAAAAUAUAUACGAUUCAUUGAAACCAAAUGGAGAUGUAUUAGUUGCAUAUUUAGCAGAAUAUCCUUUGUUUUCAAUAUACGAAACAAUUUCCAAACUGAAAAAAUGGGAACCGUAUAUGAUCGAUUAUAAGAAAUUUGUAUCCCCAUACCAUAAUAACUUCGAUACUGAAAAUAACCAUAAAGAUAUACUAAAAAAUAUUGGAUAUGAUUAUGUUGAAUGUAAAUGUGAAAGACGAACCUUUGUUUAUAAAGAUUUGAUAUCUUGGAGAAAGAUAGUACAAAGUGUUAAUCCGUUCGUUGAGCGUAUACCGGAAUCGAAACGAGAUGAAUAUAUUGAUGAAUUAAUGUUAGAAAGCAAAAAAAGGGGAUUAAUUAGAGAAAAUACUGAAGGAGUUACUAUACCUUAUGAAUUACUAAUUGUUUACGCUCAAAAAAGAACGAAACUCGAACUUGACACGAAGAGAGCAUAAAUUUGUCCAAAAAUAUAAGACAUAAAAAUAAUAAUAUUAGCAGGUUCAUAUCUUAGAAUAUUAUUUCAUCGAUUUUAAAUUAUUUUAUUACUCAAUCAGAAACAGUUUCUCCUUGAGUUUUUUAGGACUUGCAUACCUAUUUUAUAUUUUUCCAUAGCUUAAAUUUUCCGGGGUAUUUUUCUUCAGCAAAAUUGAAUAUCAAGGAGGCAAGAAAUGGAGAAGAACGGAACAAAGGAAUAUGAAAAAACUGUAGUGGAAUAUCGUUCACCACAAAACGAUAUUGUUUCUCUAAAAUCUGGCAAAUUAUUAUGAACAAAACCGGACAGAGAGGAACUGUUUCUCUUAUAUGUAUUAUAAGAUUAUUUGAAUAAUUAAUUUAUUAUUUAUUUAUAAUGAACACAUAUUCGAGUAUUUUAUAAUCAAAUAUUAUGAAGUUUUCGUAAAAAUAGUACCUUCGAUUAUUUAGUCAUUUGCUACAUAUCAGCGCUCAUUAAGAUAUACUGGAAUAAUUCCGAUUCACCGAUUGGCAAUACGGCUUUCACUCUUUUUGCAUUAAAUGACUUACGUACAAAAGGAGCUUAACUGUGUAAUCCCAAAAAAAGGUUCUUUGUAAUAUUUGUAUCAUUCUCUUUAAAAUCUCUGAAUAUCCAAAAAUACUCAAAAUAUGUUUAGUAAACGUGCAAAUUUCUAUGUAUCUUUGCAAAUAAAUUCAUUUUGAAUAUUUUUGAA